ACAUGGAGUCCAUCUUUCAUGAGAAGCAAGAAGGUUCACUCUGUGCUCAGCAUUGCCUGAAUAAUCUCUUGCAAGGAGAAUAUUUUAGUCCAGUGGAAUUAUCAUCAAUUGCACAUCAGCUCGAUGAAGAGGAAAGGGUAAGAAUGGCAGAAGGAGGAGUCACCAGUGAAGCCUAUCACACAUUUUCACAGCAGCCUUCUGGAAAUAUGGACGACAGUGGUUUCUUUUCUAUUCAGGUUAUAAGCAAUGCUUUGAAAGUCUGGGGCUUAGAAUUAAUAUUGUUCAACAAUCCAGAGUAUCAGAAGCUCAAAAUCGAUCCCAUAAAUGAAACAUCAUUUAUAUGUAAUUAUAAAGAACACUGGUUUACCAUCAGAAAAUUAGGAAAACAAUGGUUUAACCUAAAUUCUGACUUGCAAAGCCCAGAAUUAAUAUCAGAUAACUACCUCGCGCUUUACUUGAUUCAAUUACAACAAGAAGGUUAUUCCAUAUUUGUUGUUAAGGGUGAUCUACCAGAUUGUGAAGCUGACCAACUCCUGCAGAUGAUCAGAGUCAAACAGAAACCUAGAUCAAGAUUUAUUGGAAAAGAAUCAGAAAAACAAAAGGAGAAAAGAGCCCAUAAAGCAGACCUGGAACGAAUCGUAGAAACAAGCGAUGAGUCUGGAAUAUUAGAUGAAGAGAAGGAUUUGCAGAGGGUUCUGGAACUAAGUCUCCAAGAAAUGAACAUAGAAGAUGAAGAAGCAGAUCUCUGCAGAGCUAUUCAGCUAAGUAUGCAAGAUUGUGGCAGUAGCACAUCUCAAGAUAUUCCACAGACAUCUGAUACGAAUCUUACUUCAAAAGGGCUGUGGAGGAGAAAAGAAGCCUACUCUAA
This is an RNA transcript of Carlito syrichta (Philippine tarsier), 868 nucleotides long. It is a transcript of the gene named ataxin-3 pseudogene, with no coding region annotated. The transcript has a single exon. The record is from RefSeq and is a predicted model, not a curated record. Lineage: Eukaryota; Metazoa; Chordata; Mammalia; Primates; Tarsiidae.